Phoenix dactylifera (date palm) is the source of this 750-nucleotide non-coding RNA. The record is from RefSeq and is a predicted model, not a curated record. NCBI's taxonomy places the organism in Eukaryota, Viridiplantae, Streptophyta, Magnoliopsida, Arecales, Arecaceae.
GCGGCGAAGAGACGACACCAUGUGUGGGUGUCUGCAUGCAGUGGUGGGGGGCGAAGCUCUGACCAUUUGGACUGCCAUUUUCGCUAAAAAAUUUAUAUGGAUUCGCGUGGGUUUGGUGGCUUAGAUGGCCUGGGAUGGGCUUGGCUUGUGGCUUUGCGCUGGCCUCCAUCCCACGCUUAUUUAAUUGCUGCAGAGAGAGGUCCUGUUCUUGUCCGGGGGAAUAGUCCUUUACGAACGCACAGGACGCGUGUAAGCUGUUUGUGGAAUUGGCGAUUUGGGUUGCAGUAGACGAAUGAGGUGUCUUUUCCUGGUCAAACCAGGUCGCAAUGCGUCCGAAGGGUCUUGCCAAGCAUGAGAUUGGUGCAACGGAUUGUGAUGUCACCAAAUUGGUCAUCUUGGCAGGUUAUGGCUUUUACGUUGGUUUUGAGGUCCCACAUACUGUACAAGUUGAACACUGUGAGCAAAUUGGGGCUAGAUCACAGAGUCUGGAAUGGUGACGACACUAGAAUUACGGUCUCUUAUUGUCCCCAUGCAACGCAAUCUCGGAAAACCAUGGUCAGGAUAUCAUGCUGUUUUUGAUCAAACAGUGUUUGUAUGCAUGAUACGUGUAUUGCAUUGCAGGCAAUUUUUUUUUUUGAUCGAGAAUUAAUUGGCUUUUUGCGAGCAAAAUGAGCAGAAUGUGCUUUGGACGAAGGUAUCUCUAAAUAUUCAAAGUUUUCUAUCCAAAGUGAGUUGUCAAGCUAUUUAUUG